UCCGGUUGAUCCUGCCGGCGGCCACCGCUAUUGGACUCCGCUUAAAACAUGCGAGUCGAGAGGGUUCGGCCCUCGGCGCACUGCUCAGUAACACGUGGAUAAUCUGCCCUCAGGAGGGGGAUACCCUCGGGAAACUGAGGAUAAUACCCCAUAGGUCAUCGAUGCUGGAAUGCACGAUGACUGAAAGCUCCGGCGCCUGAGGAUGAGUCUGCGGCCUAUCAGGUAGUAGUGGGUGUAACGGACCCACUAGCCUGCGACGGGUACGGGCGUUGGGAGACGUCGCCCGGAGAUGGAUUCUGAGACACGAAUCCAGGCCCUACGGGGCGCAGCAGUUGCGAAAACUUCACAAUGUGCGAAAGCACGAUGAGGGGAGUCCAAGUGCCUGCACUAUGUGUUGGCUGUUCACAUGCCUAAAAAGCAUGUGAAGUAAGGGCUGGGUAAGACGGGUGCCAGCCGCCGCGGUAAUACCCGCAGCCCGAGUGGUGGUCAUUAUUAUUGAGCCUAAAGCGUCCGUAGCCGGUCUGGUAAAUCUCUGGGUAAAUCGGGCAGCUUAACUGUCCGAAUUCUGGAGAGACUGUCAGACUUGGGACCGGGAGAGGUCAGAGGUACUCCAGGGGUAGGGGCUAAAUCCUGUAAUCCCUGGAGGACCACCAGUGGCGAAGGCGUCUGACUAGAACGGAUCCGACGGUGAGGGACGGAAGCCAGGGGCGCGAACCGGAUUAGAUACCCGGGUAGUCCUGGCCGUAAACGCUGCAGACUUGGUGUUGGGGGUCCUACGGGGGUACCCAGUGCCGGAGAGAAGUUGUUAAGUCUGCCGCUUGGGGAGUACGUCCGCAAGGAUGAAACUUAAAGGAAUUGGCGGGGGAGCACAGCAACGGGAGGAGCGUGCGGUUCAAUUGGAUUCAACGCCGGG
RNAcentral lists this ribosomal RNA (913 nucleotides) under uncultured archaeon. RNAcentral's name for it is "bacterial SSU rRNA". It matches the Rfam family "Archaeal small subunit ribosomal RNA", at positions 1 to 922 of the family's 1478-position model. The record is from RNAcentral.